RNAcentral lists this ribosomal RNA (497 nucleotides) under uncultured bacterium. RNAcentral describes it as "partial 16S ribosomal RNA". It matches the Rfam family "Bacterial small subunit ribosomal RNA", at positions 28 to 507 of the family's 1533-position model. The record is from RNAcentral.
GAUGAACGCUGGCGGCGUGCCUAAUACAUGCAAGUCGAGCGAACAGACGAGGAGCUUGCUCCUCUGACGUUAGCGGCGGACGGGUGAGUAACACGUGGAUAACCUACCUAUAAGACUGGGAUAACUUCGGGAAACCGGAGCUAAUACCGGAUAAUAUAUUGAACCGCAUGGUUCAAUAGUGAAAGACGGUUUUGCUGUCACUUAUAGAUGGAUCCGCGCCGCAUUAGCUAGUUGGUAAGGUAACGGCUUACCAAGGCAACGAUGCGUAGCCGACCUGAGAGGGUGAUCGGCCACACUGGAACUGGGACACGGUCCAGACUCCUACGGGAGGCAGCAGUAGGGAAUCUUCCGCAAUGGGCGAAAGCCUGACGGAGCAACGCCGCGUGAGUGAUGAAGGUCUUCGGAUCGUAAAACUCUGUUAUUAGGGAAGAACAAAUGUGUAAGUAACUAUGCACGUCUUGACGGUACCUAAUCAGGAAGCCACGGCUAACUACGUG